Molecule: unclassified non-coding RNA, 347 nt
Filed under: Hevea brasiliensis (rubber tree)
Lineage: Eukaryota; Viridiplantae; Streptophyta; Magnoliopsida; Malpighiales; Euphorbiaceae
Source: RNAcentral
UCUUGCUCAAAUAUAAUAAGGCUAGCUCUGCCUUCAAACAUCGACUUUCAUAAUCAGAAUGGUUAACUACACAGCAAAGGAGACUUUUUCGUUUCCAACAAGAAUGCCACUCAAUUAUUCAUCAAUGCUGAAUCUUAUACUUACCACAGGCAAGUUUAUUUUUUUCAAUACAAACCAAAUUUCGAAGAUCUUUGAGCUUAUUAGCAUGUUUUCAAAUGUGUUAGCAUCUUAUACAAUUGUUGCUCAUUGAAACUAACUUAGAUUGAAAUGCUAUUGGGAACUCCCUUCCCUGUGACCCCAGGUUCAGAUAAUGGCUUCAAGAGUUCAUAAGGAACAACACCGGCUCC